RNAcentral lists this ribosomal RNA (775 nucleotides) under Janibacter sp. QJHH20. RNAcentral describes it as "bacterial SSU rRNA". It matches the Rfam family "Bacterial small subunit ribosomal RNA", at positions 379 to 1166 of the family's 1533-position model. The record is from RNAcentral. Lineage: Bacteria; Bacillati; Actinomycetota; Actinomycetes; Micrococcales; Intrasporangiaceae.
AAGCCUGAUGCAGCGACGCCGCGUGAGGGAUGACGGCCUUCGGGUUGUAAACCUCUUUCAGCAGGGAAGAAGCGAAAGUGACGGUACCUGCAGAAGAAGCACCGGCUAACUACGUGCCAGCAGCCGCGGUAAUACGUAGGGUGCGAGCGUUGUCCGGAAUUAUUGGGCGUAAAGAGCUUGUAGGCGGUUUGUCGCGUCUGCUGUGAAAAUCCGGGGCUCAACCCCGGACUUGCAGUGGGUACGGGCAGACUAGAGUGUGGUAGGGGAGACUGGAAUUCCUGGUGUAGCGGUGAAAUGCGCAGAUAUCAGGAGGAACACCGAUGGCGAAGGCAGGUCUCUGGGCCACUACUGACGCUGAGAAGCGAAAGCAUGGGGAGCGAACAGGAUUAGAUACCCUGGUAGUCCAUGCCGUAAACGUUGGGCGCUAGGUGUGGGACUCAUUCCACGAGUUCCGUGCCGCAGCUAACGCAUUAAGCGCCCCGCCUGGGGAGUACGGCCGCAAGGCUAAAACUCAAAGGAAUUGACGGGGGCCCGCACAAGCGGCGGAGCAUGCGGAUUAAUUCGAUGCAACGCGAAGAACCUUACCAAGGCUUGACAUAUACCGGAAACAUCCAGAGAUGGGUGCCCCUUUUAGGUCGGUAUACAGGUGGUGCAUGGUUGUCGUCAGCUCGUGUCGUGAGAUGUUGGGUUAAGUCCCGCAACGAGCGCAACCCUCGUUCUAUGUUGCCAGCACGUUAUGGUGGGGACUCAUGGAAGACUGCCGGGGUCAACUCGG